ACGGGUGAGUAACACGUGGGAACGUACCCUUUGGUUUGGAAUAACGCUGGGAAACUAGCGCUAAUACCGGAUACGCCCUUUUGGGGAAAGGCUUGCUGCCGAAGGAUCGGCCCGCGUCUGAUUAGCUAGUUGGUGGGGUAAUGGCCUACCAAGGCGACGAUCAGUAGCUGGUCUGAGAGGAUGAUCAGCCACACUGGGACUGAGACACGGCCCAGACUCCUACGGGAGGCAGCAGUGGGGAAUAUUGGACAAUGGGCGCAAGCCUGAUCCAGCCAUGCCGCGUGAGUGAUGAAGGCCUUAGGGUUGUAAAGCUCUUUUGUCCGGGACGAUAAUGACGGUACCGGAAGAAUAAGCCCCGGCUAACUUCGUGCCAGCAGCCGCGGUAAUACGAAGGGGGCUAGCGUUGCUCGGAAUCACUGGGCGUAAAGGGCGCGUAGGCGACCAUUCAAGUCGGGGGUGAAAGCCUGUGGCUCAACCACAGAAUUGCCUUCGAUACUGUUUGGCUUGAGUUUGGUAGAGGUUGGUGGAACUGCGAGUGUAGAGGUGAAAUUCGUAGA
This 557-nucleotide ribosomal RNA is filed under the name uncultured Methylobacterium sp. Its description in RNAcentral is "bacterial SSU rRNA". It matches the Rfam family "Bacterial small subunit ribosomal RNA", at positions 102 to 694 of the family's 1533-position model. The record is from RNAcentral. Lineage: Bacteria; Pseudomonadati; Pseudomonadota; Alphaproteobacteria; Hyphomicrobiales; Methylobacteriaceae.